RNAcentral lists this ribosomal RNA (455 nucleotides) under Gephyromantis klemmeri (Klemmer's Madagascar frog). RNAcentral describes it as "partial 16S ribosomal RNA". It matches the Rfam family "Bacterial large subunit ribosomal RNA", at positions 1979 to 2597 of the family's 2925-position model. The record is from RNAcentral. Lineage: Eukaryota; Metazoa; Chordata; Amphibia; Anura; Mantellidae.
AAUGAGGACUCGUAUCAACGGCAUCACGAGGGCUUUACUGUCUCCUUUUUCCAAUCAGUGAAACUAAUUUCCCCGUGAAGAAGCGGGGAUAUACCUAUAAGACGAGAAGACCCCAUGGAGCUUUAAACCCAGCCACACCCCCUCCACACACUAUAUCCUCUCAGUAGUUCGGGACCUGUGUGCUCGGUUUUAGGUUGGGGUGACCGUGGAGUACAAUAUAACCUCCAUGACAAACAAGAUUAUUCUCUUAUCCAAGAGCCACGCCUCUAAGAAUUAACACACUAAUGUAAAAUGAUCCGAUAAUCGAUCAACGGACCAAGUUACCCUGGGGAUAACAGCGCAAUCCAUUUCAAGAGCCCCUAUCGACAAAUGGGUUUACGACCUCGAUGUUGGAUCAGGAUAUCCCAGUGGUGCAGCAGCUACUAAAGGUUUGUUUGUUCAACAAUUAAAAUCCU